UACGGGGGGAGCAAGCGUUGUUCGGAUUUACUGGGCGUAAAGGGCGCGUAGGCGGCCACCUCAAGUCAGUUGUGAAAUCUCUGGGCUUAACCCAGAAAGGUCAACUGAUACUGCGGGGCUAGAGUGCAGAAGGGGCAACUGGAAUUCUCGGUGUAGCGGUGAAAUGCGUAGAUAUCGAGAGGAACACCUGCGGCGAAGGCGGGUUGCUGGGCUGACACUGACGCUGAAGCGCGAAAGCUAGGGGAGCGAACGGG
This 254-nucleotide ribosomal RNA is filed under the name uncultured bacterium. Its description in RNAcentral is "partial 16S ribosomal RNA". It matches the Rfam family "Bacterial small subunit ribosomal RNA", at positions 524 to 776 of the family's 1533-position model. The record is from RNAcentral.